Transfer RNA from Treponema succinifaciens DSM 2489, 74 nucleotides. It matches the Rfam family "tRNA". From Rfam's summary of the family: Transfer RNA (tRNA) molecules are approximately 80 nucleotides in length. The record is from Rfam. NCBI's taxonomy places the organism in Bacteria, Pseudomonadati, Spirochaetota, Spirochaetia, Treponematales, Treponemataceae.
GGGAGAUUAGCUCAACUGGAUAGAGCGUCGGCCUCCGGAGCCGAAGGUUGUGGGUUCGAAUCCCGUAUCUCUCA